CUUCUGCAUACACCUAGAGGAACUUGCAAUCAGUGUCAUCUUGCAGGACAAGCCACUGUGGCAUAAAAACAUCCCCUGGGAGCUGGCAUGUAUUCCUAGCAGUUAGCAUCUUUAUAAUCCAGUUGGCACCGUGUUACCCUAGUUUUCAUCCCAUUUC
Long non-coding RNA from Mus musculus (house mouse), 157 nucleotides. RefSeq annotates it as predicted gene, 51617. The transcript is spliced from 3 exons. The record is from RefSeq and is a predicted model, not a curated record. NCBI's taxonomy places the organism in Eukaryota, Metazoa, Chordata, Mammalia, Rodentia, Muridae.